This 257-nucleotide ribosomal RNA is filed under the name uncultured Glomus. RNAcentral's name for it is "partial 18S ribosomal RNA". It matches the Rfam family "Eukaryotic small subunit ribosomal RNA", at positions 624 to 884 of the family's 1831-position model. Lineage: Eukaryota; Fungi; Glomeromycota; Glomeromycetes; Glomerales; Glomeraceae. The record is from RNAcentral.
AAGCUCGUAGUUGAAUUUCGGGGUUAGUAGGUUGGUCAUGCCUCUGGUAUGUACUGGUCUCACUGAUUCCUCCUUCCUUAUGAACCGUAAUGCCAUUAAUUUGGUGUUGCGGGGAAUUUGGACUGUUACUUUGAAAAAAUUAGAGUGUUUAAAGCAAGCUAACGCUUGAAUACAUUAGCAUGGAAUAAUGAAAUAGGACGUUCGAUCUUAUUUUGUUGGUUUCUUAGGAUUGACGUAAUGAUUAAUAGGAAGUUGGG